AUUUAUAUAGUUUAUCUAUAAAACAUUACAUUUUCAUUGUAAAAAUAAAAAAAUUUUUUUAUAAAUA
Molecule: transfer RNA, 67 nt
Filed under: unidentified
Description: Oreta sp. tRNA-Glu
Source: RNAcentral